Molecule: transfer RNA, 65 nt
Filed under: Oreotrochilus melanogaster
Lineage: Eukaryota; Metazoa; Chordata; Aves; Apodiformes; Trochilidae
Description: tRNA-Cys
Source: RNAcentral
GGUCCUGUAGUGAAGUUCACGGUGAGUUGCAAACUCAUUAAUGUACAUUGUGUGUGCCGGGAUCU